GCUGGGAUGUGAUGGGGAGCGAAAUUUAGUAGCGAAGUAGCUGAUUUCACACUGUCAAGAAAAGUCUCUAUCGAGGUUAAAGGUACCCGUACCGCAAACCGACACAGGUGGGUGAGGAGAGUAUCCUAAGGCCAGCGAGAGAACUGUUGUUAAGGAACUCGGCAAAAUGACCCCGUAACUUAGGGAUAAGGGGUGCCACCAUCCGGUGGCCGCAGAGAAUAGGCCCAAGCGACUGUUUACCAAAAACAUAGGUUUCUGCUAAGUCGCAAGACGAUGUAUAGGAGCUGACGCCUGCCCGGUGCUGGAAGGUUAAGGGGAUCUGUUAGAGCAAUCGAAGCAGUGAACUUAAGCCCCAGUAAACGGCGGCCGUAACUAUAACGGUCCUAAGGUAGCGAAAUUCCUUGUCGGGUAAGUUCCGACCCGCACGAAAGGCGUAACGAUUUGGGCACUGUCUCAACAACAGACUCGGUGAAAUUGUAAUUCCGGUGAAGAUGCCGGAUACCUGCGACAGGACGGAAAGACCCCAUGGAGCUUUACUGUAGCUUGACAUUGGGUCUUGGUACUACAUGUACAGGAUAGGUGGGAGGCUUUG
Molecule: ribosomal RNA, 592 nt
Filed under: Clostridioides difficile
Lineage: Bacteria; Bacillati; Bacillota; Clostridia; Peptostreptococcales; Peptostreptococcaceae
Description: partial 23S ribosomal RNA
Rfam family: Bacterial large subunit ribosomal RNA
Source: RNAcentral